RNAcentral lists this ribosomal RNA (1165 nucleotides) under Bifidobacterium pseudolongum. Its description in RNAcentral is "bacterial SSU rRNA". It matches the Rfam family "Bacterial small subunit ribosomal RNA", at positions 46 to 1203 of the family's 1533-position model. The record is from RNAcentral. Lineage: Bacteria; Bacillati; Actinomycetota; Actinomycetes; Bifidobacteriales; Bifidobacteriaceae.
GCUAACAUGCAGUCGACGGGAUCCCUGGCAGCUUGCUGCCGGGGUGAGAGUGGCGAACGGGUGAGUAAUGCGUGACCGACCUGCCCCAUGCACCGGAAUAGCUCCUGGAAACGGGUGGUAAUGCCGGAUGUUCCACAUGAGCGCAUGCGAGUGUGGGAAAGGCUUUUUGCGGCAUGGGAUGGGGUCGCGUCCUAUCAGCUUGUUGGUGGGGUAACGGCCUACCAAGGCGUUGACGGGUAGCCGGCCUGAGAGGGCGACCGGCCACAUUGGGACUGAGAUACGGCCCAGACUCCUACGGGAGGCAGCAGUGGGGAAUAUUGCACAAUGGGCGCAAGCCUGAUGCAGCGACGCCGCGUGCGGGAUGGAGGCCUUCGGGUUGUAAACCGCUUUUGUUCAAGGGCAAGGCACGGUCUUUGGCCGUGUUGAGUGGAUUGUUCGAAUAAGCACCGGCUAACUACGUGCCAGCAGCCGCGGUAAUACGUAGGGUGCAAGCGUUAUCCGGAUUUAUUGGGCGUAAAGGGCUCGUAGGCGGUUCGUCGCGUCCGGUGUGAAAGUCCAUCGCUUAACGGUGGAUCCGCGCCGGGUACGGGCGGGCUUGAGUGCGGUAGGGGAGACUGGAAUUCCCGGUGUAACGGUGGAAUGUGUAGAUAUCGGGAAGAACACCAAUGGCGAAGGCAGGUCUCUGGGCCGUUACUGACGCUGAGGAGCGAAAGCGUGGGGAGCGAACAGGAUUAGAUACCCUGGUAGUCCACGCCGUAAACGGUGGAUGCUGGAUGUGGGGCCCUUUUUCCGGGUCCUGUGUCGGAGCUAACGCGUUAAGCAUCCCGCCUGGGGAGUACGGCCGCAAGGCUAAAACUCAAAGAAAUUGACGGGGGCCCGCACAAGCGGCGGAGCAUGCGGAUUAAUUCGAUGCAACGCGAAGAACCUUACCUGGGCUUGACAUGUGCCGGACGCCCGCGGAGACGCGGGUUCCCUUCGGGGCCGGUUCACAGGUGGUGCAUGGUCGUCGUCAGCUCGUGUCGUGAGAUGUUGGGUUAAGUCCCGCAACGAGCGCAACCCUCGCCGCGUGUUGCCAGCGGGUCAUGCCGGGAAACUCACGUGGGAACCGCCGGGGUUAACUCCGAAGGAAAGGGGGGGAAUGACGUCAAAAUCAUCAUGGCCCCUU